GUGUAUUUAUUGUGAGCUGCCACUUAUUACAAUAAGAAUUUAGUUUAUUUAUAGAGUUCUGUAAACCUUCAGGAGUUUCAGAUAAUAACAAAAUGUCAUCUGCAAACAUAAGGCAGUUCAUUGACAUAUUUUGCAGAGUCACUGGUUUACAACUUUCAUCAAUAUUUUCUGGUAGAUCAUUUAUGUAAACAUUAAAUAAGUUUGGACUCAUAUUAUCCCCUUGUUUCACUCCUCUAUCAAUAGAGACAUAUUCAGAUAUAUUCUCCUUUGAUUUCACUGAAGCUUCAGUAUUCUUAUACAUAUUUUUUAUCAAAUUGUAAAAUUUUACACCAAUAUUCUCAUUUUUUGUUAUUUUGUACAAAAGACCUAACCUCCACACUGAAUCGAAUGCCUUUUUUAGGUCUACAAAACAACCAUAAAUCUUUUUCUUUUUAUAAUUUAUAUAUUUAUUAAACAGA
RNAcentral lists this long non-coding RNA (458 nucleotides) under Mytilus galloprovincialis (Mediterranean mussel). Lineage: Eukaryota; Metazoa; Mollusca; Bivalvia; Mytilida; Mytilidae. The record is from RNAcentral.